UCAGUGGGUUAAGCCGCUGCCUUCGGCUCAGGUCAUGAUCUCAGGGUCCUGGGAUCGAGCCCCCACAUCAGGCUCCCCACACAGCGCAGAGUCUACUUCUCACCCUCAGCUCCCUCUGUUCCUCCCCUUGAU
Molecule: long non-coding RNA, 132 nt
Organism: Mustela erminea (ermine)
Lineage: Eukaryota; Metazoa; Chordata; Mammalia; Carnivora; Mustelidae
Exons: 3
Source: RefSeq, a predicted model, not a curated record